RNAcentral lists this ribosomal RNA (393 nucleotides) under Pseudopirsonia sp. Its description in RNAcentral is "partial small subunit ribosomal RNA". It matches the Rfam family "Eukaryotic small subunit ribosomal RNA", at positions 587 to 975 of the family's 1831-position model. The record is from RNAcentral. Lineage: Eukaryota; Cercozoa; Imbricatea; Marimonadida.
AGCUCCAGUAGCGUAUAUUAAAGUUGUUGCUGUUAAAAAGCUCGUAGUUGGAUUUCUGGUACGCCUGGUCUGAUCCGCUCCGGUUACGGUAGUGUGUAUCGGUACCUGGUUGCCAUCCUUUCAGAAAAACCGUUCUACCCUUAACUGGGCCGGAUCGGCGAUCUGGAACUUUUACUUUGAAAAAAUUAGAGUGUUCAAAGCAGGCUUGCGCUAUGAAUACAUUAGCAUGGAAUAAUAAUUUAGGACUCGGGUUCUAUUUUAUUGGUUUCUAGAAAUCGAGUAAUGAUUGAUAGGGACAGUUGGGGGUGCUAGUAUUCAGCGGCCAGAGGUGAAAUUCUUGGAUUCGCUGAAGACUAACUUAUGCGAAAGCAUUCACCAAGGAUGUCUUCUUUA